UGAAUGGAGUUUUGUAAUUCCAAGGGA
Molecule: non-coding RNA, 27 nt
Filed under: Rattus norvegicus (Norway rat)
Lineage: Eukaryota; Metazoa; Chordata; Mammalia; Rodentia; Muridae
Source: RNAcentral